Molecule: ribosomal RNA, 253 nt
Filed under: Bacteroides uniformis
Lineage: Bacteria; Pseudomonadati; Bacteroidota; Bacteroidia; Bacteroidales; Bacteroidaceae
Description: partial 16S ribosomal RNA
Rfam family: Bacterial small subunit ribosomal RNA
Source: RNAcentral
UACGGAGGAUCCGAGCGUUAUCCGGAUUUAUUGGGUUUAAAGGGAGCGUAGGCGGAUGCUUAAGUCAGUUGUGAAAGUUUGCGGCUCAACCGUAAAAUUGCAGUUGAUACUGGGUGUCUUGAGUACAGUAGAGGCAGGCGGAAUUCGUGGUGUAGCGGUGAAAUGCUUAGAUAUCACGAAGAACUCCGAUUGCGAAGGCAGCUUGCUGGACUGUAACUGACGCUGAUGCUCGAAAGUGUGGGUAUCAAACAGG